GACGAACGCUGGCGGCGUGCUUAACACAUGCAAGUCGAACGGGCCUGUCUUCUUUUUUGGGGGGUGGGUUGAGUGGCGAACGGGUGAGUAUCACGUGAGUAACCUGCCCUUCGGUCCUGGAUAACCGCUUGAAAGGGCGGCUAAUACGGGGUGGUCCGGUUGGUCCGCAUGGGCUGGUCGGGAUAGAUUCACUGUUUUUGGUGUUUCGGCGGGGGAUGGGCUCGCGGCCUAUCAGCUUGUUGGUGGGGUGAUGGCCUACCAAGGCGGUGACGGGUAGCCGGCCUGAGAGGGGGGGCGGCCACACUGGGACUGGGAUACGGCCCAGACUCCUGCGGGAGGCAGCAGUGGGGGGUAUUGCACAAUGGGCGGAAGCCUGAUGCAGCGACGUCGCGUGAGGGAGGGAGGCCUUCGGGUUGUGAACCUCUGUUUCCGGUGGUGAAGGCCCUGUCCGUGUGGUGGGGUUGACGGUAGCCGGGGAUGAAGCGCCGGCUAACUACGUG
RNAcentral lists this ribosomal RNA (500 nucleotides) under uncultured bacterium. Its description in RNAcentral is "partial 16S ribosomal RNA". It matches the Rfam family "Bacterial small subunit ribosomal RNA", at positions 28 to 507 of the family's 1533-position model. The record is from RNAcentral.